GCAAACUUGGUCAUUUAGAGGAAGUAAAAGUCGUAACAAGGUAACCGUAGGUGAACCUGCGGUUGGAUCAUUAUCAAAUAUGAUACAAGGGGAGCGAAGGGGGAAACUCUCUCGCUCCUCGCGUCUCACGCAAGUGAGUUCGCACAACAUACUGUGAAACGUCAAAUGUCUCUGGCGGUGGGAUGUCUGGUCUCUUUCUCCGAGAACGGGCGUCUGCCAGCACUUUGCCCGCAUGGGCCGAGUGCCGUGGGCAAGCCGCCAAACGAUGUUCCAACGAACCGUUUGUAUUAUCGCUGACCCUGUUUACGUCCUUUUGUAAAUCAUACAAAAAAACUAAACAAAGAAAAACAACUUUUGGCAACGGAUCUCUUGGCUCUCGCAUCGAUGAAGAACGCAGC
RNAcentral lists this unclassified non-coding RNA (398 nucleotides) under uncultured fungus. RNAcentral describes it as "partial contains small subunit ribosomal RNA, internal transcribed spacer 1, and 5.8S ribosomal RNA". The stretch from base 1 to 73 matches the Rfam family "Eukaryotic small subunit ribosomal RNA", at positions 1759 to 1831 of the family's 1831-position model. The record is from RNAcentral. Lineage: Eukaryota; Fungi.